GAUGAACGCUGGCGGCGUGCCUAAUACAUGCAAGUCGAGCGAACAGACGAGGAGCUUGCUCCUCUGACGUUAGCGGCGGACGGGUGAGUAACACGUGGAUAACCUACCUAUAAGACUGGGAUAACUUCGGGAAACCGGAGCUAAUACCGGAUAAUAUAUUGAACCGCAUGGUUCAAUAGUGAAAGACGGUUUUGCUGUCACUUAUAGAUGGAUCCGCGCCGCAUUAGCUAGUUGGUAAGGUAACGGCUUACCAAGGCAACGAUGCGUAGCCGACCUGAGAGGGUGAUCGGCCACACUGGAACUGAGACACGGUCCAGACUCCUACGGGAGGCAGCAGUAGGGAAUCUUCCGCAAUGGGCGAAAGCCUGACGGAGCAACGCCGCGUGAGUGAUGAAGGUCUUCGGAUCGUAAAACUCUGUUAUUAGGGAAGAACAAAUGUGUAAGUAACUAUGCACGUCUGGACGGUACCUAAUCAGAAAGCCACGGCUAACUACGG
Molecule: ribosomal RNA, 496 nt
Filed under: uncultured bacterium
Lineage: Bacteria
Description: partial 16S ribosomal RNA
Rfam family: Bacterial small subunit ribosomal RNA
Source: RNAcentral